This 73-nucleotide transfer RNA is filed under the name Basidiobolus meristosporus CBS 931.73. It matches the Rfam family "tRNA". Rfam says of the family: Transfer RNA (tRNA) molecules are approximately 80 nucleotides in length. The record is from Rfam by way of RNAcentral. Lineage: Eukaryota; Fungi; Basidiobolomycota; Basidiobolomycetes; Basidiobolales; Basidiobolaceae.
GCUUCCUUGACUGAGUUUUCAGAGCAUUGGCUUAGUAAGCAGAAGGUUGCUGGUUUGAUUCCAGCAGAAUGCA